GACGAACGCUGGCGGCGUGCUUAACACAUGCAAGUCGAACGGAAAGGCUCCAGCUUGCUGGAGUACUCGAGUGGCGAACGGGUGAGUAACACGUGGGUAAUCUGCCCUGCACUCUGGGAUAAGCCUGGGAAACUGGGUCUAAUACUGGAUAUGACCUUUCUCCUUAUGGGGUUUGGUGGAAAGUUUUUCGGUGUAGGAUGAGCCCGCGGCCUAUCAGCUUGUUGGUGGGGUGAUGGCCUACCAAGGCGACGACGGGUAGCCGGCCUGGGAGGGUGAUCGGGCACAUGGGGACUGAGAUACGGCCCAGACUCCUACGGGAGGCAGCAGUGGGGAAUAUUGCACAAUGGGCGGAAGCCUGAUGCAGCGACGCCGCGUGAGGGAUGACGGCCUUCGGGUUGUAAACCUCUUUCAGCAGGGACGAAGCGUAAGUGACGGUACCUGCAGAAGAAGCACCGGCUAACUAUGUG
Molecule: ribosomal RNA, 467 nt
Filed under: uncultured bacterium
Lineage: Bacteria
Description: partial 16S ribosomal RNA
Rfam family: Bacterial small subunit ribosomal RNA
Source: RNAcentral